Molecule: ribosomal RNA, 468 nt
Filed under: uncultured bacterium
Lineage: Bacteria
Description: partial 16S ribosomal RNA
Rfam family: Bacterial small subunit ribosomal RNA
Source: RNAcentral
GACGAACGCUGGCGGCGUGCUUAACACAUGCAAGUCGAACGGAAAGGCCCUGAUUUUGCGGGGUGCCCGAGGGGCGAACGGGUACGUAACACGUGAGUAACCUGCCCUUGACUUUGGGAUAACUUCAGGAAACUGGGGCUAAUAUAGGACAGGAGCUCCUGCUGCAUGGUGGGCGUUGGAAAGUUUCGGCGGUUGGGGAUGGACUCGCGGCUUACCAGCUUGUUGGUGGGGUAGUGGCUUACCAAGGCAUUGACGGGUAGCCGGCCUGGGAGGGUGACCGGCCACAUUGGGACUGAGAUACGGCCCAGACUCCUACGGGAGGCAGCAGUGGGGAGUAUUACCCAAUGGGCGGGAGCCGGAUGCAGCAGCGCCGCGUUCGGGAUGACGGCCUUCGGGUUGUAAACCGCUUUCGCCUGUGACGAAGCGUGAGUGACGGUAAUGGGUAAAGAAGCACCGGCUAACUACGUG